Long non-coding RNA from Raphanus sativus (radish), 2295 nucleotides. RefSeq lists it as uncharacterized. The transcript is spliced from 6 exons. The record is from RefSeq and is a predicted model, not a curated record. NCBI's taxonomy places the organism in Eukaryota, Viridiplantae, Streptophyta, Magnoliopsida, Brassicales, Brassicaceae.
UCGUCACUUUACAUCCGUUCAUUUAUCUAAAGUAAAAAACCGAAAGGAAAAAAAAAUCAGAUAGACCUUGAAACGGUCGUCUUCUUACCUACGAAGGAUCUGUGACUCCGAAAUCUUAAAUCCAUGGUGAAAAUCGAAGUUCUACGACAUAUAUUUGCGAAAGACAACCUCGUAAUCAAGUUCAGAUCCUAACAUGCAGCUGAAGAGUUUCUUAUAUCUGCUCUGUUUUGAAAGAAAUCGGAAGGACAUCGUCCUAAUUUUUAUGGAGAGACUUUAAGAGAUGCGAAGGUUCGAACAAAGAGGGGAAAGAAACACUUACUGAAGACAAUCGAGAGAAGAGCUUCCUUUGCUUCCACAUUUUCAUCGAUUGAAGAUCCUAGUGUAGAGCUUCGGAAGAGAAGCAACUGCUGUUGACGGAGCUGUAAAGUCUGAGACAGCAGCAGCAAACAUGGAGACCUUAGAUCAAAUCCAUGAAACAGAGGAUUGAAGGAGCAGAGAAGAAACAGAGACAGAUGAUGUCUUUCUUGGCUAUAGCGAUGCAGAGUCAUUCUCUGUAUCAGUUUCUCAAGCAGAGAGAUAUGAGACUUAAGGAUCUUGAGGCGGAGGAAGAAGAGAGAGGAAGAGGUUCUUCCGUGUCCGAACUGGAAGCUCUUGCUUUGGAGAUGCAAGGCUAUGGAAAAAGAGGAAUGUGAAGGAAGAAAAGGAUAUGUUGAUCUGCAUGAUGAUGACGACAUUCCAAGUCGAACCAAAAGGACAGGAGGAGAAGGCCAAUCAGACGUGCAGUUAAAGGUUUAGAGACAAAACUUUAUUCAACUGAAGGGCAUGUGACAGAGACAUAACGACAAAGCAAUAAGAACCCAAGUUGAAGUUGCAGAACCUCUGUCCAAACUUGGUCUCGAGUUCACAAUCUUUGGCAUAUACGAUCUUCUUCUCAGGGUGUUACCGGAUAUCCAGACAAACAAAACAUCUUCAAAAUAUAAAAGAUAAGUUAUUCUCAGAAAGUGUGUCUUUUUUAGAUUUUAUGAGACAUUUUUUGUUAUUUCACUGUAGUGAGUUGACUUAAUAGAUACAAUUCAAUUCAUAUAAAAUACUUAAACUGCUUACUUGAGUUGAUCCAAGCAACUCAUGGAUUUUCUUAGUGGGGUAUUGCAACCACUUAUCACGCUGCCCUUGGUUGCUACCCUCCUCCUUACUUUCAAUGAGCAUUAGACUUUUCUCAUCUCCAGUGUCCCUUAUAGUCCAAAAAAUUUUGAAGUUAGUAUGCAAGACAAAGAACUACCAUAAAUAAACAAUAGCUUAUGCACUUACAUAUCUUUAAAUGCGUCUGCAUCUGGUAUCGUAGGGUUGAUGAUCAUUUGAGAAGCAUCAUAGGAGUUAGAGAUUUGUAGUUCUCCUGUUGCCGAUACCAUUUAGUAGUGUAGGAAGUAGACAGUGUUGUUUAGUAUUUAUAUUCAUAUCUAUACUAUUAAGAAUGAAAUCGAUAGGAGUUCAGAUAUGUACCUCUAAACUUUCCAAUUUUUGCAAACCUCAAAAGCAAAGUAACCAUUCCAUCGUCUUCAUUGCAUGCAGAAUGAAGAAUGUCGGUUAAUUUGCCCCAAAUGCAGCAAGGUAGCCUCACAUCACUUAUGCGCAAUAUAUAAAUAAAGGCAUGGUUGGUAGUGCGAAAUGCUCCUCCAGCAGGUCUAACAUGGAAGUUUCGGACAUUGCGCCAUGCUCCAACAGGAAGAAGCCUUCCUUUACUCUCAAAGUAAGUUUUUUUGCAGCUUCCAUGGAUUUUAUCCCCCUUGUACAUGUUACAAAAAAAAUUAGAAAUAUAACAUCAAUAGACGUUUGUUGUAAAUACAAAAAAAAAAUCAUAAACAAAUAAGAACAGAACACAUAUCACCAAGUUAGGAUUGCUUACAUUUUCAUCAGAGAAGACGAAUUCGAUGGUUUCACCACCUUGAUUAAUGUUCCGUGUCCAGGAAUGUAGGACCUUCACAUGAACAACCUUGUUAGUGUGUCUUGGUUUCAACUCGCUGAUAGGGGUGAUUUCUUGAGUAGCAGGUUUCAAAGCCAUUUUUUUUUCGUUUGAGGGAAUGAGUUUGGUGAGGAAGAGACGUAGGUGCAUUUAUAAUAGGAAGAGAGAACCGGUCGUAAAUUAGGUAUUUUGAAAACUUGCAGGCUACUCAAAAUAUCAAAGAGAUUUUAAUAGUUAAUAACAAUUAAUAAUAGUAAUAAAUGUAGUUACUAUUUUGUUAAGAUUUUUAUUUAGUGAAUUUCGUAACACGCAAUCAAGAUUUUUACAAUACAAAC